Molecule: long non-coding RNA, 623 nt
Organism: Sarcophilus harrisii (Tasmanian devil)
Lineage: Eukaryota; Metazoa; Chordata; Mammalia; Dasyuromorphia; Dasyuridae
Exons: 5
Source: RefSeq, a predicted model, not a curated record
GAAAUAGGUGCAUAAGUUGCCCUGAAAGAAGAAGAAAGAGGAAGAAGGAGGAGGAGAAGGAAGAGGAGGAGAAGAGAAAAAGUCAUUUACUGAGGAAUAUUCUGAUAAUAUAUUGUAAAACUUUACAGCUUUCUUAAACCUACUAGAAUUUGUGCAGAAUUCAGUUAUAACUGCCUCUUACCAGCUUAUUAUGAUAAAAUUUGGACAUCCUUUACGUAAAGAUUGUUUAACCUCAAGUGGAUUUCAUGGAAAUGAAAAAAUAGAAACGCAGCUUAAUAAGAUGGCUUGAACAUAGACUACCAGAGUUACCAGAUACCUUAGAGGUCUAAUUGCCUAUCUAAGCUAUGAUUUCCAGAUGACCGCAUCUUGGGACCAACUUUUCUGAUUAGUGAGUUUCUCAUUCCCACUGCCACUUUAUGAAGUGUCUCUAAUCGUCUCUUUCUACUCUUCAAACUUCAACCCUUCCUUGGGACCAGAACUCUUCACCCAAUUCCAAAGGCAGAUGAACACUGGUUUUGACUUUUUUUAAAGUAAGAAAAUACUUUAUGUUCUUUUUCUUAUGAUGCUUGGCAUUUAUUAGUGGUUUUGGCCAUAUCUAUUUAUAGGGUUCAUCUUGCAGAAAU